Molecule: ribosomal RNA, 366 nt
Filed under: uncultured eukaryote
Lineage: Eukaryota
Description: SSU rRNA
Rfam family: Eukaryotic small subunit ribosomal RNA
Source: RNAcentral
AGCUCCAAUAGCGUAUAUUAAAGUUGUUGCAGUUAAAAAGCUCGUAGUUGAAUUUCUGGUCAUUUUUAAUGCCGGCCUCGGUCGCGUUAAGGUUGGCCAUCCGUUUGCAAGCUACUCUCGGCCUUCACUGGUUCGGAGUAGUGAGCUGACAUUUUACUUUGAAAAAAUUAGAGUGUUUCAGGCAGGCGCAUGCCCGAAUAUACUAGCAUGGAAUAAUGGAAUCGGACUUUGGUCCAUUUGGUUGGUUAUUGGAUCUGAGUAAUGGUUAAUAGGGACAGUUGGGGGCAUUAGUAUUUAAUAGUCAGAGGUGAAAUGCUUGGACCGUCUGAAGACUAACUACUGCGAAAGCAUUUGCCAAGAGUGUGU